Non-coding RNA from Meleagris gallopavo (turkey), 1466 nucleotides. NCBI's taxonomy places the organism in Eukaryota, Metazoa, Chordata, Aves, Galliformes, Phasianidae. The record is from RefSeq and is a predicted model, not a curated record.
UGAGUGGAAAACUGUCUACAUCUAAAUCUUUAAAUCACCCAGGCUUUUAGUAAUGAAGGCAUCUCACUUUUCCAUUCACAGAGACUUGAAAUGGAGGAGUGGAGAUUUGUUUGUUUGUUUGUUUGUUAUCAAGUGCAGGUGCAUUGUCAAUGGGACUUGUGGAAUUAUACUUCCGUAUGAGAAAAAUAAGUUAUUCAGACACCUUUGCACUGUUCUCCAGCUCAGUGAUGGCACAAAUUAACUAAUCUAGAUUCCUAAUUUCUGCAGCUGAGAUUUCUAAGAUUUGAGCUGAGGCAGUGAACGUGUGCACCUGAGUGUGUGUGUCAACUGGAUGCUGAGAUGUGUUAGGAACUACAGGAGAUGAAUAGAAGAGCACUUUUCUGAUGCGCUGGUGAGAAGAAAAUUUGUACUUAGGUUGUUUUGGAGCAUUUGCAAAGCACUGACUAACAGCUGAAGUUAAGAACUGUAUGUAUCAGGGCUGGGUUGUAUCCUGCAGAGAACUGUUUGUGGGAAGAUGUGACUGCAUGCAGUGCAGCUGUUGGGUAUCAAGCUGCUGCUGGAGCUCUUCAGAGCUGUCCUCACAAACACAACCUGUGAAAGGUCUGUGUGAUCCUUUCUUUGUGGGAAUGUUGCAGGUGUGUAAGCAGAGAAAAGCAAAACCAACUCAGUUUAAACUUAAAUAAAACGUGCUCAACAAUUUGUUUCCCCUCUGCUGGAAACUUAAUAUAAAUUGGGAUAUCAGCUUAACCUGGCUUUUGGACAGUGUUUUGGGUUUAAGGCUUUUUAAAUACAGUGGAAAUUAAACACUUUUUUCAGCAAGUGAAAUCCAAUGUGUGAGUGAGAUUUGAUAAGAAAGUGGACAAGCAGCUGCUUAUCAUAUCUGAGCCACUGCUGCCCCUGUUUGCAGGAAGCCCUGACUGCUUAUAAGGAACCAAACCUUCAUCUGCUUGACAGUGGGUAGAUUUUGAAACAGCAUCGGUGAUCAAAACUGUGGCAUGUUGCAGGGUGAAACUUCCUUCCUCUCCUCUCUGUAGUUCAGUCUGCGUUGGUGUCUUCUGCUAUGGUACAAAUAGAGGUGAAAAGGCAGGGGUUUUUCUUCUCUUGCUGAGUGUUGGAGUUGUGAAGCUAUAGAGAAGCCCAGGGUUGCUUGAUGGCUUCAGUAACAGAUGCCAGAUACAGGCAGAAAGAUACCUCGGAUCAGAAUUUUGAUUACAUGUUCAAACUCCUGAUCAUUGGCAACAGCAGUGUGGGUAAAACAUCCUUCCUCUUCAGAUAUGCUGAUGACACUUUCACGCCAGCCUUUGUCAGCACAGUAGGAAUUGACUUCAAAGUGAAAACAGUUUAUAGGAAUGAUAAACGGGUGAAACUGCAGAUUUGGGUAAGUGCCAGUAUUUUCAACAGUAUUUUAUUACUAAACCCAGUAAAGAUAUGACAAAACUAGCUUGCUUGGAGAUUAGACUGUUGUU